Molecule: ribosomal RNA, 462 nt
Filed under: uncultured bacterium
Lineage: Bacteria
Description: partial 16S ribosomal RNA
Rfam family: Bacterial small subunit ribosomal RNA
Source: RNAcentral
GAUAAACGCUGGCGGCGUGCUUAACACAUGCAAGUCGAACGAAGUUUUUCUUUCGGGAGGAACUUAGUGGCGGACGGGUGAGUAACGCGUGGGUAACCUGCCCUGUACAGGGGGACAACAGCUGGAAACGGCCGCUAAUACCGCAUAAGCCCUUAGCACUGCAUGGUGCAUAGGGAAAAGGAGCAAUCCGGUACAGGAUGGACCCGCGUCUGAUUAGCCAGUUGGCAGGGUAACGGCCUACCAAAGCGACGAUCAGUAGCCGAUCUGAGAGGAUGUACGGCCACAUUGGGACUGAGACACGGCCCAGACUCCUACGGGAGGCAGCAGUGGGGAAUAUUGCACAAUGGAGGAAACUCUGAUGCAGCGACGCCGCGUGAGUGAAGAAGUAUUUCGGUAUGUAAAGCUCUAUCAGCAGGAAAGAAAAUGACGGUACCUGACUAAGAAGCACCGGCUAACUACGUG